Ictalurus punctatus (channel catfish) is the source of this 200-nucleotide small nuclear RNA. Its record names the gene U2. It matches the Rfam family "U2 spliceosomal RNA". From Rfam's summary of the family: U2 is a small nuclear RNA (snRNA) component of the spliceosome (involved in pre-mRNA splicing). Complementary binding between U2 snRNA (in an area lying towards the 5' end but 3' to hairpin I) and the branchpoint sequence (BPS) of the intron results the bulging out of an unpaired adenosine, on the BPS, which initiates a nucleophilic attack at the intronic 5' splice site, thus starting the first of two transesterification reactions that mediate splicing. Lineage: Eukaryota; Metazoa; Chordata; Actinopteri; Siluriformes; Ictaluridae. The record is from Ensembl.
AUUGUUUUGAAAGAAAAAAAAAAAAAAAAAAAAAAAAAAAAAAAAAAAAAACACUGUUCUUAUCAGUUUAAUACCUGAUACGUCCUCCAUUCGAGGACUUUAUAUUAAAUGGAUUUUUAGAGCCAGGAACUGGAAGAGGGGCUUGCUCCGUCCGCUCCAUGCAUCGACCUGGUACUGCAGUACCUAAAGGUGCCCCUUUU